Molecule: ribosomal RNA, 507 nt
Filed under: uncultured bacterium
Lineage: Bacteria
Description: partial 16S ribosomal RNA
Source: RNAcentral
GGAGUUAGCCGGUGCUUCUUCUGUGAGUGAUGUCCUUCCUGCCGGUUAUUGACCCGCAGGCCUUCUUCCUCACUGAAAGUGCUUUACAACCCGAAGGCCUUCUUCACACACGCGGCAUGGCUGGAUCAGGGUUGCCCCCAUUGUCCAAUAUUCCCCACUGCUGCCUCCCGUAGGAGUCUGGGCCGUGUCUCAGUCCCAGUGUGGCUGAUCAUCCUCUCAGACCAGCUACGGAUCGUCGCCUUGGUGAGCCGUUACCUCACCAACCAGCUAAUCCGACAUAGGCUCAUCCGAUAGCGCGAGGCCCGAAGGUCCCCCGCUUUCCCCCGUAGGGCGUAUGCGGUAUUAUCCUGGGUUUCCCCAGGUUAUCCCCCACUACCGGGCAGAUUCCUAUGCAUUACUCACCCGUCCGCCGCUCGCCACCAGGGAGCAAGCUCCCCGUGCUGCCGCUCGACUUGCAUGUGUUAGGCCUGCCGCCAGCGUUCAAUCUGAGCCAGAAUCAAACUCUGA